RNAcentral lists this ribosomal RNA (596 nucleotides) under Collonia sp. SWA-2010. Its description in RNAcentral is "partial 16S ribosomal RNA". It matches the Rfam family "Bacterial large subunit ribosomal RNA", at positions 1816 to 2600 of the family's 2925-position model. The record is from RNAcentral. Lineage: Eukaryota; Metazoa; Mollusca; Gastropoda; Trochida; Colloniidae.
CGCCCCUUGUUAGUAACUAGAAAUCGUUUAUUAUAGAUAGUUUUUAAGAUAGGGGGUCUGACCUGCCCGGUGACGUGAAGUUAAACGGCUGCGAUUUUAGAUCGUACUAAGGUAGCGUAAUAAUUUGCCCUUUAAUUGGGGGCUUGCAUGAAUGGUUUGACGAGAGCCAAGCUGUCUCUUUUUAAAUUUUUAGAAAUUAACUUUCAGGUGAAGAGGCCUGAUAUUUUACUGAGGGACGAGAAGACCCUAUUGAGCUUAAGCGAAAUAAUAACUCUUUAUGUGAAGAAGUAGUCAAACGUGAAUAGAAUGAAUUCUUUUUUAUUAGUUAGAAAUUUAAAGAAUUUAUUAUUAAUCUUUAGCUGGGACGGCUGGGGAAUAUAAAUAACUUCCUUGAGCAUAAUUACCAAUGCAGGUUUCGUGUUAAUAAGGACCCAAUUAUUAUUGAUCAACGGAAGAAGUUACCAUAGGGAUAACAGCGUGAUCUCUCUAGAGAGCUCUUAUCGAAGGAGAGGGUUACGACCUCGAUGUUGGACUAAGAUAUCCCGGGGGCGAAGAAGCUCCCGAUGGUUGGUCUGUUCGACCAUUAAAAUCUUACA